CUUGGGUACUCGAGUGGCGAACGGGUGAGUAACACGUGGGUGAUCUGCCCUGCACUUCGGGAUAAGCCUGGGAAACUGGGUCUAAUACCGGAUAGGACCACAUUUUGGACGGUGUGGUGGAAAGUUUUUCGGUGUGGGAUGAGCUCGCGGCCUAUCAGCUUGUUGGUGGGGUAAUGGCCUACCAAGGCGUCGACGGGUAGCCGGCCUGAGAGGGUGUACGGCCACAUUGGGACUGAGAUACGGCCCAG
RNAcentral lists this ribosomal RNA (248 nucleotides) under uncultured Actinomycetales bacterium. Its description in RNAcentral is "partial 16S ribosomal RNA". It matches the Rfam family "Bacterial small subunit ribosomal RNA", at positions 82 to 334 of the family's 1533-position model. Lineage: Bacteria; Bacillati; Actinomycetota; Actinomycetes; Actinomycetales. The record is from RNAcentral.